Molecule: non-coding RNA, 941 nt
Organism: Rattus norvegicus (Norway rat)
Lineage: Eukaryota; Metazoa; Chordata; Mammalia; Rodentia; Muridae
Source: RefSeq, a predicted model, not a curated record
UAACCUGGUGAGUCAUAGCUUCUUCUGUGAUAUCACAACUAUUGUAGUGACAGCAACUGCCUCUCAGAUAUUCCUGCAGUACCUCUAGGGUUUACUAAUAUCCUCUAAUUCAUAGCAAAUUGGGGUGUGAUAACAAACAGAUUGAAGAGAUUAUAAAUGGGGAGAAGGAAGCUGGCUUUCUGUCUUGGUAUAAAAAAUAAUGAAGAAAUAUGUGGUCCUUUGGAAAGCUCAUUGAGUCCUUGGCAACCACUAAUGAAGCACAAAGAACUCUCUAAUUUUAGAGUGAUGUAGUAAGGAAAGGUUUCCACAGCGUUACAGGAGACUAUCCUUGAAAGAGCACCGCCAAAUCUGGUCAAUGUAAAGAUAGCUUUUUAGCAGGAGACACUCCUUGAAGGGGCACCCUCAAAUCUGGCCAUUAAAGAAAGAAGUUCAGCAGAACCAGAAUUUUACCACAGAUAUACUUUCGGAGUGCGAGCCACUGUUCAGUGCUUUCCUGCUUGGCUUGCUUCAUCCAGUGCCUGUGCUGGUACUGUGACACAAGAAGAGCCUCUUGUCAUCCAUUAAAUGCUGCCUGGCAAAUCCUCUACGAUUUUCUUCACCAUGACAUUUCCAGCCCUUUACAGCUCUCACAAAGGUAGGCUGAGGUCUCCCAUCUGAGCCCUUACUACUGCAAUCUGUUGCCCUGGACUCUGCCAUCCCUGCUGCUGGUUCUGCUGAGGCUCCAGAACCUGGUCAACUCAUUUUAGCCUUGAAUACAGUUUUAAUCUCCUUACAAUUAGCAGUUUUUAUCAGUAAGACUUGCAGUCAGUUGGUAAGACUUGAGAUCCUAUUUCAAUCCUGUCUGUUGCUCAGUGGCUUUAACUUAUGAGUGCCUUGGGUUUUAAUUUAGUGGUUUAGAGUGUUUUUUUGUUUUUGAAGUUUUUUUUUUGUUGUUGUUUUUU